Molecule: ribosomal RNA, 435 nt
Filed under: uncultured Oscillospiraceae bacterium
Lineage: Bacteria; Bacillati; Bacillota; Clostridia; Eubacteriales; Oscillospiraceae
Description: partial 16S ribosomal RNA
Rfam family: Bacterial small subunit ribosomal RNA
Source: RNAcentral
ACGGGAGGCAGCAGUGGGGAAUAUUGGGCAAUGGGCGAAAGCCUGAUGCAGCAACGCCGCGUGAGGGAUGACGGUCUUCGGAUUGUAAACCUCUGUCUUCAGUGAUGAAUUUUGACAUUAGCUGAGGAGGAAGCCACGGCUAACUACGUGCCAGCAGCCGCGGUAAUACGUAGGUGGCAAGCGUUGUCCGGAUUUACUGGGUGUAAAGGGAGCGCAGGCGGGAGAGCAAGUCAGUGGUGAAAUGUAUGGGCUUAACCCAUGAACUGCCAUUGAAACUGUUUUUCGUGAGUGAAGUAGAGGCAAGCGGAAUUCCGAGUGUAGCGGUGAAAUGCGUAGAUAUUCGGAGGAACACCAGUGGCGAAGGCGGCUUGCUGGGCUUUUACUGACGCUGAGGCUCGAAAGUUUGGGGAGCAAACAGGAUUAGAUACCCUGGUA